This 439-nucleotide ribosomal RNA is filed under the name uncultured bacterium. Its description in RNAcentral is "partial 16S ribosomal RNA". It matches the Rfam family "Bacterial small subunit ribosomal RNA", at positions 339 to 795 of the family's 1533-position model. The record is from RNAcentral.
CUACGGGAGGCUGCAGUGAGGAAUAUUGCACAAUGGGGGGAACCCUGAUGCAGCAACGCCGCGUGGAGGAUGACGCAUUUCGGUGUGUAAACUCCUUUUAUAUGUCAAGAAAAUGACGGUAGCAUAUGAAUAAGCACCGGCUAACUCCGUGCCAGCGGCCGCGGUAAUACGGAGGGUGCAAGCGUUACUCGGAAUCACUGGGCGUAAAGGACGCGUAGGCGGGUUGGAAAGUCAGGUGUGAAAUCCUACAGCUUAACUGUAGAACUGCACUUGAAACUUCUAAUCUAGAGUAUGGGAGGGGGAGAUGGAAUUAGUGGUGUAGGGGUAAAAUCCGUAGAUAUCACUAGGUAUACCUAAAGCGAAGGCGAUCUCCUGGAACAUUACUGACGCUAAGGCGUGAAAGCGUGGGGAGCAAACAGGAUUAGAUACCCGCGUAGUC